CGCUAUCACUCCGUACGGGAGGCAGCAGGUGGGGAAUAUUGCACAAUGGGCGCAAGCCUGAUGCAGCCAUGCCGCGUGUGUGAAGAAGGCCUUCGGGUUGUAAAGCACUUUCAGUCGUGAGGAAGGUAGUGUAGUUAAUAGCUGCAUUAUUUGACGUUAGCGACAGAAGAAGCACCGGCUAACUCCGUGCCAGCAGCCGCGGUAAUACGGAGGGUGCGAGCGUUAAUCGGAAUUACUGGGCGUAAAGCGCAUGCAGGUGGUUUUGUUAAGUCAGAUGUGAAAGCCCCGGGGCUCAACCUCGGAAUUGCAUUUUGAAAACUGGCAGACUAGAGUACUGUAGAGGGGGUAGAAUUUCAGGUGUAGCGGUGAAAAUGCGUAGAGAUCUGAAGGAAUACCGGUGGCGAAGGCGGCCCCCUGGACAGAUACUGACACUCAGAUGCGAAAGCGUGGGGAGCAAACAGGAUUAGAUACCCUGGUAG
RNAcentral lists this ribosomal RNA (479 nucleotides) under uncultured bacterium. Its description in RNAcentral is "bacterial SSU rRNA". It matches the Rfam family "Bacterial small subunit ribosomal RNA", at positions 328 to 793 of the family's 1533-position model. The record is from RNAcentral.